Long non-coding RNA from Myripristis murdjan (pinecone soldierfish), 776 nucleotides. RefSeq lists it as uncharacterized. The record is from RefSeq and is a predicted model, not a curated record. NCBI's taxonomy places the organism in Eukaryota, Metazoa, Chordata, Actinopteri, Holocentriformes, Holocentridae. The transcript is spliced from 5 exons.
ACCUGCGCAUAAAUAAACCUGACGUCACAUCCGCUGCAGCCCAGCUCUCUUGGAUCUACUGCUUGCCGCGGAGCGCUCAGACUGAUGGUGAACUACGGCAGCACAAUGGAAAGGACCAAAAAGACGAUGCCACGUGUUGCCCCGCUCAGAGCCCCUGACUGACAUCUGAUGCUGAGGUGGGAGAUUGACCACCAGGUGUGAAGUCAGGAGCAGAGAAAGUCCUGACUACCUCUUCUGUUUGACAGACGUUGGUCGUAUCAAAGCCAGGAGGCGCCAUCUGCGAGGUGGAGGAGCGUGAGGAAGAUGAAGCCCAUAUUUGGAAAACCAAACCCGCCGGAAAAUUCCCAGUGUGAUGCACGAGUUUGGCAAGACUGAAGCUUUUUGGGCACCAAAUAAGACCUGAGGAUGUCUCCUGCGUCAGCGUGGCUCGCUGAAAGCACCAGACAGUAGUGUCGUUGUAGUGACAACUGGUAGGCCUUAUACUUUGGAGAGAUGAGGUGUUUGUAAAAAUGAAAAUAUGAGCAGUACAGAGUGGUAAAAUAGACCAAUCAGUUGCAGUUACAAUUUUUUGGAGAGGUGCACAUGAACAAGGUUUUUCCUGUGGUUAAGGUUAGGUGAAGUGUGUGGGAGGCAUUUUGAUGCAGAAGUGUAAAUUGACCAUCAGUGUUACAAGAGUAAGAUUUAGGUUGGAGUGGAUGAUCAUGGAAUUGAAUGCAACUCUUCUAGACUUCACAGAUUGUUCUGUACCUGUAUUUCAUUAAAUUGUGGUAAUCCUG